GAUGAGCGCUGGCGGCGUGCCUAAUACAUGCAAGUCGAGCGAACAGACGAGGAGCUUGCUCCUCUGACGUUAGCGGCGGACGGGUGAGUAACACGUGGAUAACCUACCUAUAAGACUGGGAUAACUUCGGGAAACCGGAGCUAAUACCGGAUAAUAUAUUGAACCGCAUGGUUCAAUAGUGAAAGACGGUUUUGCUGUCACUUAUAGAUGGAUCCGCGCCGCAUUAGCUAGUUGGUAAGGUAACGGCUUACCAAGGCAACGAUGCGUAGCCGACCUGAGAGGGUGAUCGGCCACACUGGAACUGAGACACGGUCCAGACUCCUACGGGAGGCAGCAGUAGGGAAUCUUCCGCAAUGGGCGAAAGCCUGACGGAGCAACGCCGCGUGAGUGGUGAAGGUCUUCGGAUCGUAAAACUCUGUUAUUAGGGAAGAACAAAUGUGUAAGUAACUAUGCACGUCUUGACGGUACCUAAUCAGAAAGCCACGGCUAACUACGUG
RNAcentral lists this ribosomal RNA (497 nucleotides) under uncultured bacterium. RNAcentral describes it as "partial 16S ribosomal RNA". It matches the Rfam family "Bacterial small subunit ribosomal RNA", at positions 28 to 507 of the family's 1533-position model. The record is from RNAcentral.